RNAcentral lists this long non-coding RNA (203 nucleotides) under Mytilus galloprovincialis (Mediterranean mussel). Lineage: Eukaryota; Metazoa; Mollusca; Bivalvia; Mytilida; Mytilidae. The record is from RNAcentral.
GGCCAGAGACAUUUACUAAUUAAGACUUAUACAAAUUAUAAUAGUUACAAGGAGGGGUAACUAGAUUUUUAACGCAUGAUUAUUUGAAUCACUGCGCCGUAUGAAAAUGCAUGCAUAAACAUUUGUCUUAAUCUCUUAACUAUGACCAUUUGUGUUUAGAAGCGUUGUUUUCAGACGACAGUUGGAAAGAUUACGCACCUAAU